Long non-coding RNA from Mastomys coucha (southern multimammate mouse), 636 nucleotides. RefSeq lists it as uncharacterized. The record is from RefSeq and is a predicted model, not a curated record. Lineage: Eukaryota; Metazoa; Chordata; Mammalia; Rodentia; Muridae. The transcript is spliced from 3 exons.
GGCAUCUCCAAAGUGGAAGGUAGAAAGAGGGCCGGCCGGAGGGGCUCAAUAGCCCAGGCGGGCGUAAGGAAACCGCAGGAUUGCAGCUCCAAGGACGCCAUAGAUGCAGAAACUGUGAUGUAGAUGUAUCCGUUCCUUCGGACUGGGCUUCCCAGGAUCUGUCGAUCUUCACAUUGUAUCCAGUUGUGGUUUUAUGCAACAGUCUCCAUUUGCUAUGAAGAGAUGUUUCUUUGACCUGGACCAUAUCAAGCUGCAAGGGAGUCUGGAAAAACAGUGUUUUGUUGUUACUGUUCUGCUACAAAGAGUCCACUGGGUAUUGAAUAGGCAUGGAUUACUCUCUCCCAUUCUUAGCCUUCUCUUUUCUUCCCCAUCUCUGUGUCUCUUCAACUUUAGUCUGGAUUUAAAUAUCUGUUCCUGGAUUUAGAACUUUAAAAAGAAAAUGUUUGUUUUUAAUCCCACUGCUGAAUCAAAAGCAGUAGUUGAGAUGCCAAAUAUAAACAGACACGCCAGGCGCAAGGCUUCAGCAGAGAAGGCACACCUUGUACUUUCUGAAUGACAGCUUCACUGGCCAGCUUAAGAACAUCAGCGAGUUACAGAGAAAUAAACUACAAAAUGCCAACUUUUGACUCAGCACAA